CCCAAGAGAUCGGGAUAACACCUGGAAACAGAUGCUAAUACCGGAUAACAACAGAUGAUGCCUAUCAACUGUUUAAAAGAUGGUUCUGCUAUCACUCUUGGAUGGACCUGCGGUGCAUUAGCUAGUUGGUAGGGUAACGGCCUACCAAGGCGAUGAUGCAUAGCCGAGUUGAGAGACUGAUCGGCCACAUUGGGACUGAGACACGGCCCAAACUCCUACGAGAGGCAGCAGCU
Molecule: ribosomal RNA, 233 nt
Filed under: uncultured Lactobacillus sp.
Lineage: Bacteria; Bacillati; Bacillota; Bacilli; Lactobacillales; Lactobacillaceae
Description: partial 16S ribosomal RNA
Rfam family: Bacterial small subunit ribosomal RNA
Source: RNAcentral